RNAcentral lists this ribosomal RNA (422 nucleotides) under Campylobacter gracilis. Its description in RNAcentral is "bacterial SSU rRNA". It matches the Rfam family "Bacterial small subunit ribosomal RNA", at positions 29 to 448 of the family's 1533-position model. Lineage: Bacteria; Pseudomonadati; Campylobacterota; Epsilonproteobacteria; Campylobacterales; Campylobacteraceae. The record is from RNAcentral.
AGUGAACGCUGGCGGCGUGCCUAAUACAUGCAAGCCGAACGGAAUUUAAAAGAGCUUGCUCUUUUAAAUUUAGUGGCGCACGGGUGAGUAAUAUAUAGCUAAUCUGCCCCUUGCUGGAGGACAACAGUUAGAAAUGACUGCUAAUACUCCAUACUCCUUUUUACCAUAAGAUAAAUCGGGAAAGAAUUUCGGCAAGGGAUGAGACUAUAUCGUAUCAGCUAGUCGGUGGGGUAACGGCCUACCGAGGCUAUGACGCGUAACUGGUCUGAGAGGAUGAUCAGUCACAUUGGAACUGAGACACGGUCCAAACUCCUACGGGAGGCAGCAGUAGGGAAUAUUGCGCAAUGGGGGAAACCCUGACGCAGCAACGCCGCGUGGAGGAUGACACUUUUCGGAGCGUAAACUCCUUUUGUUAGGGAAGA